Molecule: ribosomal RNA, 465 nt
Filed under: Vreelandella stevensii
Lineage: Bacteria; Pseudomonadati; Pseudomonadota; Gammaproteobacteria; Oceanospirillales; Halomonadaceae
Description: partial 16S ribosomal RNA
Rfam family: Bacterial small subunit ribosomal RNA
Source: RNAcentral
CCUACGGGUGACAGCAGUGGGGAAUAUUGGACAAUGGGGGGAACCCUGAUCCAGCCAUGCCGCGUGUGCGAAGAAGGCCCUCGGGUUGUAAAGCACUUUCAGUGAGGAAGAACGCCUGGUGGUUAAUACCCAUCAGGAAAGACAUCACUCACAGAAGAAGCACUGGCUAACUCCGUGCCAGCAGCCGCGGUAAUACGGAGGGUGCGAGCGUUAAUCGGAAUUACUGGGCGUAAAGCGCGCGUAGGUGGCUUGAUAAGCCGGUUGUGAAAGCCCCGGGCUCAACCUGGGAACGGCAUCCGGAACUGUCAAGCUAGAGUGCAGGAGAGGAAGGUAGAAUUCCCGGUGUAGCGGUGAAAUGCGUAGAGAUCGGGAGGAAUACCAGUGGCGAAGGCGGCCUUCUGGACUGACACUGACACUGAGGUGCGAAAGCGUGGGUAGCAAACAGGAUUAGAUACCCGAGUAGUC